AUACGAAAGGUGCAAGCGUUGUUCGGAUUUACUGGGCGUAAAGAGAGUGUAGGUGGUUUAUUAAGUCGGAUGUGAAAUCCCGGGGCUCAACCUCGGAACUGCAUUCGAUACUGAUAGGCUAGAGUUUGGGAGGGGUAAGCGGAAUUCCGUGUGUAGCAGUGAAAUGCGUAGAUAUACGGAGGAACACCUGAGGCGAAGGCGGCUUACUGGACCAAUACUGACACUGAGACUCGAAAGCGUGGGUAGCAAACAGAAUUAGAUACCCCAGUAGUCC
RNAcentral lists this ribosomal RNA (274 nucleotides) under uncultured bacterium. RNAcentral's name for it is "partial 16S ribosomal RNA". It matches the Rfam family "Bacterial small subunit ribosomal RNA", at positions 523 to 796 of the family's 1533-position model. The record is from RNAcentral.